This 331-nucleotide ribosomal RNA is filed under the name uncultured archaeon. Its description in RNAcentral is "bacterial SSU rRNA". It matches the Rfam family "Archaeal small subunit ribosomal RNA", at positions 1023 to 1352 of the family's 1478-position model. The record is from RNAcentral.
ACCGUCGACAGUCAGGUAACGAGCGAGACCCCUGCGUCUAGUUGCUACCAUUACUCUCUGGAGCAGUGGAGCGAAUUAGACGGACCGCCACAGUUAAUGUGGAGGAAGGAAGGGGCCACGGCAGGUCAGUAUGCCCCGAAACCCUAGGGCUACACGCGGGCUGCAAUGGUAUUGACAAUGCGUUCCGAAUCCGAAAGGAGGAGGCAAUCAUCAAACAAUAUCUCAGUUAUGACUGAGGGCUGUAACUCGCCCUCACGAAUAUGGAAUCCCUAGUAACCGCGCGUCACUACCGCGCGGUGAAUACGUCCCUGCUCCUUGCACGAAUUCGCCG